This 15877-nucleotide long non-coding RNA is filed under the name Gossypium barbadense (sea-island cotton). Its description in RNAcentral is "long non-coding RNA (GBAR_LNC019095)". Lineage: Eukaryota; Viridiplantae; Streptophyta; Magnoliopsida; Malvales; Malvaceae. The record is from RNAcentral.
UUGCAACUAAUUGCAGGAUUUAGAUCAGAAAUUCAUUUAAAGUUUAAUGAAAUGAUGAAUUUUUUUUUUGCCUUUAAUCCAUGUCAGAUAAAAUAUACUUAUGUGACAUUUGAUUUUCUUGAUUACUUUACUGGCUGAAACGAACAUGUUCAUAUACACAAUAGAUGAGUACUUCUGCGGUUGAAGUUAGUGGUGAAAAAGUCAAAGCAUAGUGGGAUAAGAGAUUGACAGAAAUAUUUUAUGAUAUUUAUAUUAAAGAGAUAUUGAAAGGCAAUAGGUCUGGUACUCAUUUCACAAAAGAUAGAUGGUUGUAUAUAAUGACCAAUUUCGAGAAAGAAACAUGCAAGGCUUAUUCACAAAGACAACUUAAAAAUAGAUGGGAUGUCCUGAAGAAAGAAUGGAAGGCUUGGAAGAAACUUAAAGAUGGAGAUACUGGUCUAGGAUGGAAUCCUAUAAAAAGAACUGUUGAUGCAUCAGAUGAUUGGUAGGAAAGUAGGCUAAAGGUACAUUACUAAUUCUAGAUAUUUUUGUUUUUUCUUAUUUAUGAGGUUAUUGAUAAUUUCUUUUAUUAAACUACUAUUUCAUUUGUAGGUUGUGCCUUAAGCUAAAAAAUUUAGAACAUUGGGCAUUAAUCUUGAAUUCAAAGGGAAGUUGGACCAAAUGUUCAUAGGAGUAGUUGUAAUAGGUGAUAAAGCAUGAGCACUUUCUUCUGGUACACUCCGUAAUUUUUUGAGGAUGUUGACAAUGACAUACCUGAAGAGAAUAAGGAAGAAAAUGUGAGAAAUGAUGUUCAUAUUUUAAAUGAUGUUAACAUUUCAAAUGAUGUUCACAUUGAUGGAAACAGUCAAAAAAGGAAAACACCUGAUAUAUCAACUUCAUGUUUUAAAACUGGAAAGAAGAAAUCCGCAAAGCAAAUUGGAGAGCCUGCAAGAUUGUCUAGUCAAAUAGAAAAAUUAUGCAAUGUAGUUGACAAUAUGAGUCAAGCCACAUCUAGUUUGAUUCCUGUUAUGGAUCUGUAUGGUAAUCCACAAGCAGUCAAAGUGUUUGAUAGCAUGUCAGAGGAAAUUCCAGAAGCUAGUCCGCUAUAUUUUUUCUCAUUGAGAUUAUUACUCAAAAAGGACAAGCGAAUUAUAUUUUUAUCAAUUAAUCCCAAGAUGAGAGUUUUGUGACUUAAGAUAGAAAUAGAGGAUAGUUGAAAAUUUUCUAGUCUUCUAGGGUCUAGAAAUAUCUACUAUGUGACUAAACAACUAUGUUAAACUAGUUUUAUCAAUAGUUAUUUAUGUUUGGUUUCUGGAUAUUGAAUUUAUAUUCUACUUAUUUAUGUAUAAUCUAGUUUUAUCAAUAGUUGUUUAUAUUUGAUUUUGGAUAUAAAACUUGUUCACAGGUGAUGAGUGUGGUUGACAAUUUCAGCAGUGAUAAAAGUGAUGAUGAAAGGGAAAAUAAAGAGAUAUUACAACGCAUGAAAUGUUUUAACUGAUUAUUAGUUGUUACAUCUUCUUCCGUGCAAUUAUAUUAUGAGAAGUAUUUAUUGAAGCAACCAUGCAUGGAUUCAAAACAGUCAGGUGAAGGAUGGAUCCAAGAGAUCUUUAAUGGUCAUGAAUCACAUUGUAUGAUUAAUUUUAGGAUGUCUAAAAUUGUAUUCACAAGUUUGUUGGUAGUUUCGGAGACAAUAUAAACUUGUAAACUUUAAGACGCAUAUCUUCUCAUGAAAUGUUGAAAAUUUUUUUGUACAUCUUGGGCACUGGUGCAAAAGUUUUCCAAUGUCGAGAAAAAUUUCAAAGAUUUAGAGCGACAAUAAGUCGAUACAUUACAAUUGUACUUGAGAAAGUUUCAAAGAUGGCGAUUGAUCUAAUUGCACCCAAAGAUCAUUUUUUAGCUCAAUACCCGAACAAAUAUGUAAUGAUUCUAGAUAUAUGCCGCAUUUUAAGGUUAAAACUGAAUAUUAUAUUAUUAUAUUUUAAUAUUUUUGGUCGAUUAAAAAUAUGUAUAAAACUAAUAUGAUUAUUUGUUCAGGAUUGCAUAGGUACAAUUGAUGGUACUUAUAUUGCCACUAUUCUUCCAUCAAAUGAACAAAUUUCCUAUAUUGAAAGAAAAUGUGUCCCGACUCAGAAUAUUAUGAGAGUAUGAUUUUAAUAUGUGUUUCACCUUUGUUAUGACUGGACGGAAAGGACCGACGCAUGACACUAGAAUAUUUCUUGAUGCAAUUCAAGAUUCAAAAUACAAAUUUCCGCACCCACCAAAUGGUAAGAUAUUUCAUUUAUUUCUCUUUUUUUUAAAUAAUAAAGUAUAAGCUCUUUAAUUGAUAAUUUUAAAAAACAAACAAUUCUUGAAUUAAUUGUUUGUUAUAUUAUGACAUGUAAAAAAAUAUUAUCUUGUUGAUUCUAGAUAUCCUCAAAUGAAAGGUUAUCUUGGACCAUAUAGAGGUCAACGAUAUCAUUUACUUGACUUUCGUAGAGGUAGAAUGAUAUCUAGUAAAGAAGAGAUAUUAAACUAUUCACAUUCAUCAUUACGCAGUGUGAUUGAAUAAAAUUUUGGUGCUUUGAAAAGAAAUAGGCCAUUUUAAGGGAUAUGCUAAGUUAUAGUUUUAAAAAACAAACGAUGAUCGUUGUUGCUAUAAUGGCGAUACACAAUUUUAUUUGAAAAUUUAUCGGUUAAAAUUAUGCAAGUUUUAUGGAAUACAAAAACAUUAACAGGGCAUAUGAGAAUAUUAUUGAUCCAGAAGAUGUGCAUGAUGGAUAAAGUGAUGAUGAUGAUGAUGGUGGUGGUGAAUCAAACAAUUGAAGUGAUUUUGAAAUAGAAUUAACAAGAGAUGCUAUAACUUCUAGUUUAAUGAAUUCACUUUAAAUUGUAAAUGCUAAUGUAAAAUUAUGAUGUAUUUGGUAUAUAAAUAUUACUCCUUUUUGAAACUUUAAUCCAAACGCAUACAAUAUUUUAAUUUGUUAGGUUUAUCUUUUCUAUGUUAUAUUAAUAUCUAUUAUGGGUUAUAUAUUCAAAUUACAUUUUAAAAUAAAAUAAUACAAAUGUGCUAAAAUCAUUAAUUAAAAAUUAAAUAAAAUAUUUUUAAAAAUAAUACAACUGUGUUCAUAUCUAAAUACAAAUAUUUAAUGAUUAUAUUUAAAUAUUUAAAAUAUAGUUUAUAUAUUCUAAUUAAAUUUUAUAAAUAAUUAAUAUUCAUUAAUUAAUAUUCAUUACUUAGAAAUAUUUAAAAUUAAUAUUUCAUAUAUUAAAACAUUAACAAUAAGUUAUAAUAAAUUAUUUGUUUAUACUUUUGCUAAAAUAUCAUAAUAUUAACUAAUUUGAACAUUAUUUAAAUGCAUAUUUGUUACUUUAUAAUACCAUGUCUAAAAUGGACAUUUUAUUUCUCAAAAGUACUUUUUGACAACAAUACUAAACACUCAUAUCUUAAAUCAAACUUUUCAAAAGUAUUUCUCAAAAGCACUUUUCUACUGCACUUUUUAAAAGCACUUUUCAAAAGCAAUGCUAAACUAACCCUUAGUGUAACAUCCCUAACCCAUCUCUUUUGUCAGAUUUGGGUUACGGAGUAUUACUAUAUAAUUUGAAACAUUUAACUUCAAAGAGAAAAAAUUAUUCAAAUUAAAUACUAACAUUCAAAUAAACAUUUUAUUUAAAGUAAAAAAGCACUUAUGGGAUUUGAACCGAGCCUACGGGGCCUUAAAAAUAAUUUGGGAACAUUCAAGAACCAUUUUGAAAUAAUUUUUUAAAAAAAAAUUAAUAAAUUUUGGAAACAAAUGUCACAUGGCCGAGUGACAUAGCCUAGGUCGUGUGGCUUGAAGACAUGGCCAUGUGAUCAAUCGUGUACAAUUCGAAGUAUGAGACACACGGUCGUGCCCUAGCCCGUGUGCUAGACUGUGUGCAUUCGAAGUUAGGUCACAUGGCCAUGUCACCAGGCUGUGUAACUGAUCUGGCGUAAUUUGGUGUAGCAGAUUAAACUAAUUUUCGCACUUAAGAAGCCUGAAUACAAGCAUUUUUGCUAUAUUUUAGUUAAGUUUCUUUAGUUUUACUUACAUUCAAUAAAAUGUGUAAAUUGAGUCUUUUAUUGACCGUAAGGGACAAAUGAGGCCUAACGGAGAGCUAACGUACCUUGUGAGUGUGUAGAAGACCAUUAGAAGACAUUUUAGACCAAUAUUGGAUGCUAUGUCGUAACACGAGAAGCCCGAUGUCGCAACACAGAGAGUAGAAUGGAGAAAGUAUGAAACUGUCUUCAAUGUUGCGACACAGCCUGAGGGUGUCGCAACAUACCCCUGAAGACUUCUCAAUGAGGGUAUAUUGCCACCUCUGUCGCAAAACAUGUUCGGUUGUGUCGCGACAUCGACUUUGGGACAAAAAUUAAACAUGAAGCAAGGGCGUUUUGAUUUGCACAAUCAAACCUAAAGCUCGAUGAGCCCGUGGAAGCACAAAAGGACUUGUAAUUCGUAACCCAAGCCGACAAUCACAUUCAAAAGGUGGGAGCUCCCAUAAAAAAAUAUAGCUUGGGUAAAGGCAAGGCACCUAUAGAGCAAUGGUGCUCCCAUCCUCUUGAUGAUUCGAAGGAGGAUUGAUUUUUAUUUUUGUUAUUUUUAAAAGACUUGUAUUAAUUUUUAGAUACUUUUAAUUUUAACCUUGUAGGAGUAUGAUAAUAUCAGUUUUUAUAUAGUAGUUUGUUUAAGUUUUCUCUAUAAGAACCCAACACAAAGGAGACACAAGCAAUUCAAGCUUAACACGAUCAAAGGAGGAAGCACCCACCAUUAGUAAUUGGAGUGACCACGAUCAAUCGAGUAACUUCUUUCCUUAUCUGUUUAUGGACUACAUAUUAAGGACAACGUGUCAACUAAAGUGUGGUGGGGGGAGAGAGGUAACACAGAAAACAUGUUUAUUUUCAAUUUCUACAUUUUCUUUGAUUUUUUCUUGUCUUUGGUGUGCUUGAGCUUGUAGAAAUAGAAGUGAUUGGUUAGGAGUAUGUACAUAGGUUGCUUGUGUUUAUGAAUAAAUUUGGCAUGAUGGGAGGUGAUUUUAGAUUUUUUAGCAUUAGACUACUAAAGUUCUAUAUGUUACACUGUAAACAAGCAUUAAACAAUCAACUGUACCAAGUGAUGUAGAAAAUAUAAGGAAACGAGCAUCCUAAUACGAAUGAUAAAUGAUUGAAUUUGUAUUUGUUUGGUUGAUUAAGUUUGUGCAUGUGGAGAUAUUUAGGGAUGACCUAAGACAUUGUCUAGAACACAUCUAGAGCUAAAAAACUAUCAUAUUUAUAUUUCACGUUUAGUACCGAUCUUUAAGCUUGUUGACAUUUGUUGAUGAACCCCAUUACAAACCACUAAGCUUUAAAUGUUAAUUUUUAUUUACCCUUUUUCUUUGGUCCCACACUGCACGACUAUAGACAUCUAGCCAUACGUAUUGAGGGUUAAGUAGACACAUCACGACAAAAUUAGAAGAAAUGAAGUGAAAUAAGAAAGAUUGGUGUGAUAUAGGAACAUAUAAGUUAGCCUAAUGUGCGAAACAAAAAGAAAAAUCCAAAAAGGAAAUUAGUACGAGUAGAAAACAAAAUCUUAAAAUAGUGAAAAAACCAUUCAUGAGUGAGAUGUAUUGAAAAAGUGAAAAGUGACAGUCAUGAAAGAAAAACUUGUUUAUUAGUGCAAAAAAACUUGUAAGGCUAACCAAUAGUUACUAUGAAUUCUUAUAUAUGGAGAGACAAGGAAGGUGAGAAAAGAAGAAAUAAGGCGGUAAGUGGGUAAGAGUCACUAAGGGGGAAGAAUAGGAAUCAAUAUGAUGUGCCAAACUAUUUUCGUGUUUGUGAUCCUUUUGAUACUUAAUAUUUUUGAAUUCCAUACAUGUCCUAAGCCUUAGAACGUUACAAGCCGAAAACCUUAUGUGACCUAAACAUCCUUAUGCAUGAAUGGACGUCAUACUAAACAUACACAUAAACGACCAUUUGUAUUUUGCUCGGAUAAUCAAAGUGCUUGUACGAUUUAUUGAUGGAUUCCUAUAGGUGAGACCCUUAAUAUUUGUAUAUUUUUGUAACAUAUUGAAAUUAGAUGUUUGUGAUCAAAAGUGAUAAGUCAUACUAAUCAUAAUUGCAAUACACCUAAACUAGGUCUAGUAAUUUCGAAUAUAUUUUUCGGGUUCUAAGUGUGAAAUUAAGAAUUUAUAGAGUUUCUAGUAAUUUUUAAUAUAAUUUAAGAGGUUAAUUUCAUCUAAAAUCGAUUAAACAAUAAUCCAUAAAAUUAAAAAAAAUAAUUCUGAAAACUUAAUUUUAAAGACUUAAAAUAAUUAUUAGUGAAAAUUAUCAAUUUGGGUUGAAAAAGAAUUUUAAAAUAAUUUUUAUUGGGAGUAACUUGAAUAAAAUUUAAAUAUUAAUUAAAUAUGAUUUAAUUAUAAAAUAAGAGAAAAUUUAGAGUAUUUAUAUGAAAAAUAAACCUUAAAAUUCAUAAUUUUAGAGGGAAAGUAUUUAAUGGUAAAGUAAGGGAAAUGUGGGAGUGACCAUUAGGCAAAUUUCCCAAUUUUUAAAUUUCUAGUGGGUGGUUUCAAUUUUAAAACUAAUGUAUCUAGCUCACUUUUCACACAUUUUACAUCCGAUUAGAGAGUUUUAAAAUUCUUUUUCUUUGCAUGAUUUUAAAGACCUAUCAUCAGAGAAUAGAUCCAACCAAUUUCCUCUUCAGAAUACUCUCUCAAUUCACCUGAAAUUAUUCUCAAAAGUAGCCAAAAAUAUUCUAAAAUUUUUCAAGUUUCUUGAAUCAAGAUUUUCAAUUAAUGAAUUUAAAGUGAAUCAAAGGUAAUUUUCAAUCCUAAACUUAUUUUUAUGAUGAUUAGAAAUAUUUUUACAUGAUUUGAGAGUCAAUUAAAGGAUUUUUAUCAAUGUCAUCUUUUUUCAAGAACACAUGAUUCUUUAAUGGUGGAUCUCGAAUUUUGAGAGGAAAUCCACAAAUCAAUAAAUGUUCCAACUCAAAAUGGAUCCAUUAAAAGGUUUUUGAUCUCAUUUAUCAAGAUUAAAUAUGAUUUGUGAGAUAAUUUAAAGAAAUCUGAAUUUCACCAUCUUCAUGAAUCGAUUUUCCGAAAUUUUGUGAAAUUAAUUUAAAUAUGAAAUUGAUGCUUAGUAUAAGUGUAUUUAGUCUAGUAUUGAUGAUUGAAAAGUGUUUAGGAGGGCUGGAGAGAUCGAUUUUGUGAGGAUUCGAGUUUUCGACUUGAUGUUAAAAAUCUGGUAAUGUAUCUUUGUGAGAGGAUUUCAAUUUUGUCACGACUUAGGUGGCUAAUGUAAUGCUUCGAAUUCAAGCUAGUCCAUCCUAGUCGGGGGUGUCACAAUGAUAAAGUUGUUAGUAAGCAUGAAAUGCUUAUGUCAUAUGCUCCGAAGGUAAUACUUGUAUGAUAUUUGUUGAAGGGUCGUGACCUUUAUUUCUUAUUUUUGUUUAUGUUGCUUGAGGAGAAGCAAUGACUUAAAGGUGGAGGAGUUUAAUUUGUCGUAAUUCAGUGUAGCAGAUUAAAGCUAGUUUUCACACUUAUGGAUCCUGAAUACAAGCAUUUUCGUUAUAUUUUAGUUAAGUUUCUUUAGCUUUACUUACAUUCAAUAAAAUGUGCAAAUUAAGUCUUUUGUUGACCUUAAGGGCCGAAUAAGGCCUAAGGGGAGAGCUAACGUACCUUGUGCGUGUAGGAGACCAUUAGAUGGCAUUUUAGUCUAAUACUAGACGUAUUUCACAACACGAGAGGCUCGAUGUCGCAAUAUAGAAAGCGAAAUAGAAAAAGUACAAAACUAUCUUCGAUGUCGCAAUAUAGAAAGCGAAAUGGAGAAAGUAUGAAACUAUCUUCGAUGUCACGACACACUGAUGGUGUUGCGACACACCCCUGAAGACAUCUCAAGGAGUAUACUGGCACCUCUAUUGCGACAUAGGUUCUAUUGUGUUGCGACAUCAAUUCUGGGACAGAAAUUAAACAUGAAGUAAGGGCAUUUUUAUCUGUACAAUCAAACCUAAAGGUCGAGGACGUCAGCUACCCUAAGGUUAAGGACGACGAGCACCUAAAAGUUAUAAAUGGACUCAUUUGGUACAUGUUAUAGACAUAAUUUCUUUAGCCUAGAUUAUCUCUGUAAAAUUUAGUUUAAUUUUCUUUCAUUCUUAGGUUUUAGAUUUCUUUUAUUUUUUCUUGUUGAUUUUAAGAGAUCUGAAUUGUGGAAGCAUUCAAACUCUAUGGAUUCACGUUUAAUUUCAAUACAAUUAGGCUCUUUCUUUUACUUUAUCUUGUCGUAACUAGCAUGAUUUCUCUUUAUUUCGAUUUCAUAUUGUCUAUGAAAGUCAUGAGGAACUAAUCUCCUUGUGGGGGAUUACCAAGUGGAGGUAUGAUCUAUUAAUUGUUUUAUAAGGUUACUCAACAGAUCAACUGUUAUGGAAAGGAAGAACGUGAAACAAACACUGGGCCUAACAACCCCGAAAAGUCAUCAAGGUGGAAAUUAACUGAAAAUUGGUAUUGUCCAUUUGUGAACACUUUCACCUCAAACUAGUUUGAACUGUGAGAUCAAAAGAUAAGUAGUUCUUGCUGACUCGUUAUAUUAGUGGAAGAUUGGAAGAUCCUGCUAGGGUAGCGACUAGUUGAUUGACGAGAAACCUGAGGUAACAGUUGAUGAGGAUUAUCGAAGCAAGCUAAUCACCCAUAAUCAAGAUUUCAUUUACUCUUCUAUCUCCUAAUUUUAUUUACUAUAUGUUAUUUUAAUUUCUUAUUCUGAACACUUAAAAAACCCCUCUUUUAUGCUCUUAUAGUAUAAUUUAUUUAAAGUACUAACUAGAUCUUUUAGUAUUUAGGUUAAAAUUGAUCUAGCGCUCGCCUGUAUUAGGUACAAUCCUCGGAGUACUCACCUACUUCGUUGUAAAAAUAUAUUACAACUUGACCCAUAUACUUUCAGAUACUGUCUUUUCGUUCUAUAUUUUAUUGCAGUAUUAUGUCUAGAGGCAACCUUUAACUCUUUUUGACCAUGUGGUUCAUCCUAUACUUAAAAUAAAAAUAUACAACCGUGUGACAACCCGUGUCCCAGGUCGUAUGCUCUCUAAAUUACCCCUAAUGCAAGCCUUACACACCAAGCCAAUCAAUUUCUAGAUACUUUCACAUGAUUAAAUUACAUUCAAGGACACCAAAAAAAUGCCAAAAAUCAUUCAUCCUAUUUCUAACCAAUAUGCUAUCAAUAGGCACCACAAUUCAUACACCAAAUCAACUCAAGUACAAAACUAAAAAUCCACACCUUAAACAUAUAACAAUCAUACCAAAAAGUCAUUUCAUUCUCAGUAUAAACCAUAAUGACUUUAACACUUUCCAUAGGCAUAACCAAAGUGUCCAUAAAACACCUAAUUUUAGACAUUUACAAGCAAAACAAAAAACAUAUAUGCAAGUAGCUACAAGUAAGAUCAAUUCACACCAUAUUGGAAAAAUAGCUCAAAACACCUAUUACAUGUCAUUUAUAACCAUCAACUAAGUAAUAAAAAACUACCAAAGAGAAGGAUGGAUAGUGUGAUUGUACUCCGACGAGAUUCCAAUCGAUCGAGCUUUUCGAUGAUCUACAAGAAAAAGAAAACAACUACAUAGGCAACUAGUACUUAGUAAGCUCGUAUAAAGGAAACUUAAACUUACCGAACAUAUUAUGUUUAAAACAACCAACCAUAAUUUCAUUAAAUCAUAAGCAUAAUUUUGUUUCCUAAACACACUUCACAGGGUUGGUAAGUGUAUAAAUCAACAUAUAAAUCCAACCAACUUAUGGAACAUACCACAAUAAGCAUUCAAUAUAUAUUUCAUCCAUCAUGUAUUUAAAUAAUACCCUUUUCAUUUCAAGCACAUACAUCAACAUUUUUCAUUUCAUCUUGUAAUAACAUUGACCAUUUCAUAUACUUACAUAUUCAGAUUAAACUUUAAUCACCCAUCGAACCAAAUGGAAUAUCAUUAGAUACUCGAGAAUUGCUUACAUAAGCUGUGAUUGGAACAUGUAAUCAUAUAUGCUCACAAGAGCUGUGGGUCGCGAUGUUAAGCUACACGAUGCUGCUCACACGAGCCGUGGGGAAUUGACAACAAAUGUAGGACCCCAGCUAUCGGUAGAACAUCCAAGACCAGCACCCGAAAUCGUAUAACCCCUAAUGACAUGUCAUUUGUAUCUUAAGUUUUCACAAGGCUCAAAUGGGACUAUUGUACAAAUCCAAUUAUUUUAUUUUCAUUACAUAAUGCUAUUCAAACAUGCUUUAAGGAAAUAUACAUUCUCAAAUAUAACAUUCAAUUUAACUAACAUCAUAAUUUGAUCCAAUAUAAAAAUAUCAUACAACUAUCAAUCAAAAUUAUACAUAGCAUAAUAUUUAUUAACAUUACAUUCAAAACAUCAUUUAAUAAGUUUAAUACUUAUAUAAACUUACCUCGACAAAAACGGUUGCAAAAACAAAGUCGACAACUAGUUUGAAACUUUAGUUUUUCCUCAAUUUAAAUUCGAUUAUUGCGUUUCUUGAUCUAAAUAGUAUUUUCAUUCAAUUAAUACUAUUCUAGAACUUAAAUAAGUAAUUUUAUACAGUUAACCCCUUCCAUCAUUAUUUUAAAAAAUUACCCUAAUAUUUUAACUUUUGUAUGAUUUAGUCUCUAAACCUAAAACUUGUAAAAUUACGAUUUUAAAAGAAAAACCAUAGUAGUUGGUUUUCCUAGGGGUCAAUUACAGCCCAUAUCUUUCAUUAAUUCACCCUAUUUUCAUUGGAUUUUAAUAUUUUAACAAUUUAAUCCUUAAAUAUUAAAAUUAUUAAAAAUCACUUAACAAAUUACUUCUUUUUAGCUACCAACCUUAAUAAUCUAUCAACUAAGUUCAAAAACACUUUAAUUUUAUCAAUGGCAAAAAACGUUUAACAAUUUUACAAAUUAACCCUCGGGUUAGCUAGAUUAAGCUAAUAUAGUAACAGAAACAUAAAAAUCAUUAAAAAUAGACUGAAACUUCAUACCAUGCAAUUGAAAUUUCUUUGGUCGAAGCUUGCUCCUCCCUUGGCUAUGGUUUUUCCGUUCUAGGGUGAAAGAAAGGAUGAAAAUGAUGAUUAUUUCAUAUUGUUUUACUUUACUAUUUACCUAAAAUUAUUAUUUUUAAUUAUUCUUCAUCUAUCUGCUCCUUUGUAGUACAUUUCUAAAAUAAGACCUUGGUUUUUCUCUAUUUUUUUUAUUUUUCGCUAGAUCUGGUGGUUUUUUAUUCUUUAGUUUGGGUUUUGUUUGUAUAUGAAGGAAUCUAAAAUAGAGGCUAACAUGGCCAAGUUGCGUAUAUCGGAUGGGAAGAAGGAGAAAGUCCUACAGAUUGAGGGAAUUUUCGAGGGAAAUCACAGGCUGUAUGAUCUAUGCUUUGUGGGUUUCCUUACUGCUAGUGUGGUUUAAUUUCAAGUUAUGUGAAAUACGUUAGCAAAUCUCUGGCAUCCUUUAAGAGACAUUGAGAUCUCGGAUCUAGGGGAGAAGAGAUUUUUGUUUAGGUUUUCUCAUCAGGUUGAUUUCGAGUGAGUGAUAAAAGGGGCGCCCUAGACUUUUAAGAAUCGUCUAUUGAUUUUUCAUCGGUUUCUAAGAAGAAAGAGGGUGAGCAAUUUCUAGCUUAUCAAACUAAUUUAUCGGCAAUCACUUGGGGGCAUGUCGACCGACAUCAAUGAAGAUUAUGAGUUGGAAUGUUCAUGGAUUGAGGAGUCCAUGAGUAUUAAGGAGGCUUCAACAUAUGUUGAAACUUCACAAUUCCUAAGUUGUCUUAUUGAUGGAGUUGAAGUUGGAUUCUGUCAGAAUGGAGAGAGUGUGUCAUCUGAGGGGUUUGUGCAUGGUAUUGAUGUUCCAGUAGUGGGUACGAAGGGGCUUUAGUUUUGGGUGGAAGAUUGAUAUUGACAUUAAUUUGUGAAAUUUUUUUACUAACCAUAUUGAUGUGGAUAUUUAUGGUCCUGAUGAUGGAAUUAAUUUGAGGCUAACAGGGUUUUAUGGCUCUCCUAAUAUGAGAAACUGUAGUACAUCUUGGCAUCUACUUCGAAGCUUAGGGAGGGAUUAGAAUUUGUCGUGGUUGGUACAUUUUACUCUUUUAAAAAGAAAGGGAGUGUUUUGCGUGAUGAUAGAAGGAUAGGAGAGUUUCAACGGGUGUUGAGGGACUUCCAAUUGGAGGAUUUAGGUUUUAAAGGUCCUUCGUUUACUUGCGAGAUGGGUAACUUUGAGCAUAAUAAUAUAAUGGAAAGGUUGGAUAGGGUAGUUACGAAUUUUGCUUGGCGGGUAAAGUUUCCAAAUUUUGUGGUGUGCCACUUGCCUCACUCAUUUGUUGAUCAUUGUCCUCUAUUGUUGGUAAUAGAUAAGGGGGAGGGGAAUAUUCAGAGUAAUCAUUUUCGGUUUGAAGCAUCUUGGACGUUAGAAGAUUCAUGUGAAGCUAAAGUUCGUAAACUUUGGGAGCAGAGUAGGGGUACUCUUCCACAUCGGCUUGAGUUGUUGGGGCAUGGUUUGGAAUCUUGGGCUGAUAGGUUGAGAAAGGAGAAGGGUAGAAGGUAGAGGCAUCUUUGUAGAAAGAUUGAGGAAUUUAACUUGGGCGAAUGGGAUAAUGAUAGCAUUUUCAAUCUUAUGGAGAGUAAAAUUGAUUUGAAUUUGGAGUUAGAGAAAGAAGGAAUGUAUUGGGAGCAAAGAGCACGUGUGAAUUAGUUAAAGCAUGGUGAUCGUAAUAUGAGUUUCGUUCAUCGUAUAACAUUUCAAAGGAAAAGGAUGAACAUGGUGAAAUGGUUGGAUAAGGGAGAUGGUCAUGUAACUAGUGAUGUAGGGGAGGUGAAUGAAAUUGCCAGGGAGUAUUUUAUGGAGUUAUUUACCUUUUAGGGAUUGUGUGAUUCUGAUCAUAUUUUGGGGGGUGUUAAUGGGUGUAUUUUGGAGGACAUGAAUCAAUGCCUCACGACCUGAUAUGAAAGAGAUAAGAUGCUUAUAACAAAGAAAGCAAUGGUGCCCACAAAGGCGUCAGGACCUAAUGGUUUUCCUGCUCUAUUCUUUCAAAAUUAUUGGCAUAUUGUAAGAGAGGAGGUGGGAACUUAUUGUGUUAAUACCGAAAACAUCAAAACCGAAUAAUAUGAAAAAUUUUCACCCUAUAAGGCUCUGCUCGGUGUUGCAUAAAAUUAUCUCUAAAACCGUGGCUAAUCAUUUCCAAAAAGUUCUAAGUUGUUGUAUUGAUGAAGCGCAAAGUGCUUUCAUUCCUAAGAGGUUAAUUAUUGAUAAUAUUUUGCUUGCGUAUGAGAUCUUAGAGGUGUUUAAAUGGAAAAGGAUUGGUAUGAAGGGUUAUUUUCCCCUUAAACUCGAUAUGAGUAAGACAUAUAAUGGGGUGGAAUGGGAGUUCUUGAGGAAGAUGCUUUUGAAGAUGGGUUUUGUGGAAAGAUGGGUUGGUUUUAUUCAUAAUUGUGUGAGCUCAGUAACCUGUUCUGUAAUUCUCAAUGGAGAGGUGAGUCAAAGGUUUUCACCCCGGAGGGGACUUCGUGAAAGAGAUUUGCUUAGCCCGAUUUGUUUUUAAUAUAAAGUGAAUGUUUAUCCUCGAUGCGCGUGGCAAGUCAGAGUAGAUUAAUCAAAGGCGCAAGAAUCGGUAGGGGGACCAAAAAUUUCUUAUAUUCUGUUUGCUGAAGAUUGUAUCUUAUUAGGGGGUUACGUGAGAGAAGCAAUGUUUCUACAAUAGAUUCUUAAAGAAUACAAGGAAGCGUUGGGCCAAUGUGUUAAUUAUGAAAAAUUUGCUAUCUAUUUCAGUUCAAAUGUGGGGGAUGAUAUAAGGUAUGAGAUAUCAAGGUGCUUGGAGGUUAGUAUUUCAACUGACCCUUAAAGAUACUUAGACUUAACUAUUAUGGUUGGAAUGAGUGAAAGGCGGGCGUUUCAAGGAUUGAAGGACCGUAUGCGGUGUCGCAUUAACAAUUGGUGUGUGAAAGCAUUGUCUCAAGGGGAAAAUAAGUUUUUAUAAAGAGUGUUCUACAAGCUAUUCUCACUUUAACGAUGUCUUGCUUUUUAUUACCAACUUCAUUAUGUCAAGAUCUAGAGCAUAUUAUCUCUCAUUAUUUGUGGCAAAAAUUUUAUGGUAAGCAAAGGAUUCAUUGGUGUGCAUGGUCUAUGUUGUGUUCAUUGAAACACCAUGGUGGGAUGGGUUUUCAAGAUCUUAGUAAGUUUAAUUUUGCUCUUUUGGCCAAGUAGGGUUGGCGAUUAAUUAAAGAUCAGAGUUUAUUAUUGGCGCGAUUGUUUAAAGCUAAAUAUUACCCUAAUUUUGAUUUUUUGAAAGCUAGUUUAUGAGUCUACCCAUCUUAUACCUAAAAGAGUAUAUGAUCUACAAAGGGUCUGCUUCUGAGGGCCUGGGCUAGCAAGUGGGCACAGGCACAAGCAUUGACAUAUAAGAGGAUAGCUGGGUCCCUGGUCUACCUAUACAAAAAAUUCAGGCUAUGGAUGAGAACAUACAUUAUAGAAAAACAUCUGAUUUAAUUGUUCAUCAAGAACGGGUGUGGGAUGUGGGAAUAAUUACUAGUUGUUUUGAUCUUGAUGUGGCGAGUAGGAUUCAAUGUAUUCCUCUUGCCUCGCAUCCUCAACCGGAUAUGGUGGUUUGGCGAGUUGAACCCGCAGGUGAGUAUACCAUUCAGAGCAGUUACAGAUUAUUACAAGGAAAUAAAGAGUUAAAUGAAAAUGCAGUGGAUUGUUACAAUAUUUUUUACAAGAAGCUAUGGAAACUAAAAAUUCCAAAAAAGGUUAAAAUCACAGUCUGACGCAUUUCCAAGAAUCUAAUUCCUAAUUCACACAACUUGUACAAUAGACGCUUGGUGGGUUCUACGAUUUGCCCAAAGUGUGUACGGGGUGUGGAGGAUUUGGAGCAUGACUUUCGGGAUUAUCCUUUUGUUGCUGUUGUUGGGACCUAUUGAAUAUUAAAUGGAAUGGUGAAGAGGGCGGUCACAAUUUUCAAGAUUGGUUACUGAGAAUGUUUCAUAACUCUUCGGAAUAUACCCAUAGGCAGAUUUCAUGUAUGAUCUGGUUCCUCUAGUUAGAGAGAAAUAAAUGGGUGCAUGACAGAUCGUUUGCCUCGUCAUAAUAGAUUGUAAGUAAGAUUUCGUCCUAUAUGUAUGAACUUAAUGUAAUUGAGAAGAAAUUACCUGUUACGAAAGUGGGUUUUGAGAGGUGGAGACCACUAGAUGAACCUUUCGUUAAGAUAAAUUUUGAUCCGGCAUUUCAUGUUCUUACUUCAAAUUCCUGUUCAGGGAUAAUUAUCAAAGAUGGUAGAUCUAGAACUAUUGUUGAAAAAGUAACUGUAAAUGGAAACAUACCGUCGGUCUUUGCGGCUGAGGCACUUGCAUGCCUUUAAGCGCUUAGAUUGGGGGUGGAUCUUGGUUUUAAAAGGGUGGUGGUGGAAGGGGAUUCUCUUUCUGUGAUAAAGAAAACGAACUCAAGUUGUGUUGAUAGAUCAGCAUUGGGGCGUAUAUUCAUGACAUUAGAAUUGAACAACGAAAAUUUGGAGACUGUGAGGUUAUUUAUGUCCCCGAGAGGUGAACAUAUUGGCUUAUUUCCUAGUACAAGAGGGAUGGAGAAGGGGAGAUGGUCUAAAUCUGGAAAAUAGUUACCUGGUAGAGAUGGUGGCUUUGAACUGUAGGGGUGUUGGAGAGGACGACGGAGCGGGUGUUGGAAUGGCUUGUGGGUAGUUGAUGUUUUAUUCAAAAGGGUUUUGGUGAUGGGGAUUUUUUAUGAGGGCGAUAAGAACGAUUGGUUUUCUGAAAGCAGGGAUUAAAGGAAAUGGCGGUUUCCAAUGGUUUUCUGACCUACUCCUGUUGUUUGUAGUCUCCCAUGGUCUACACGUGUAUUCAAUAUGGUGCGUGGCUUUUCUGUCUAGGCUGGAGUUGCUUGUUUUGUUUUCUUUUUGCUGCUAUUUGUUUUUCCGAGCUUUUGUUUCAACUGUUUU